GCCAAUUUAGUCACUCAAUUUUUAAUGGUACUCAAUUUUGGUCUAAAUCUCAAUCUUUAAAUCUCAGUCGUUGAUCAAAAACUGAUUUGACGGCUGAAACCAAAUCCCCUUACCUUCCUUUUAAACCAACAACAAACCCUAACCCUAAUCUCAUUCCCUAUCAUCCUCCCCCUCUUGAUCCCUCUCUCUACUCCCUCUCUCUCAAAGAACCUCUUCUGUCGUCCCUCUCCACAUUGGCACCAACGCGAAAUCUAACACCACCACGAAACCCCCAUCAUCUUCUUUUUCCGGUGCCUCAAAAGAGCGUCAGUCGUCGGAGCCAGCCAUAAACGCCACCCUCGCUGCCAAUCCCCUUUGUCUCAGCCCAGAUCUGACGCCGCCAAGAAUAGCGGCAAUGGCCCCGCCCUAUUUUGCUCCAGCCAGCAUCACCAUGCCAUCCCUUCAUCUCUGACCACCCCCAAUGAUGACAUCAUCCCAUCCUCCGUGACCUCAGAUCUCCCAUGCAUCAUCGCUGUCGAAGACCCGCUCCAACGUCUCUAACGAUGGCUAGUCCUAGCCGUGGUCCUCAGACCCCGCCACCACGACUUCACUGCCUCCGAGCUUUCUCUACUCCUCCAUCACUACUCCAAUACCUCCACCAGCAAGUCGACCAGCACCGCUACCACCAAAGGUGAUAGCACUUCUAUCGCUUUCCCCUUUCUCCAGCGCCUCUAUCUUCCCCACUAAUCAUCGAAAAAUUGCGAUGAAUUCGUAAUAAAUUCAUCCAGGUGAAACAGACACUUACAAGUUUCAAAGAGUCGCCGGAAUAUUUAAACUAUGUAUUUUUUUAACUAGUUAUUUUUCCCUUGAUUUCUAUUUGGUCUGUAAUAUAUUGUAAAACACUUUUAUUGUUAUUAUAAUAAUUAGAUUUGGAGGACUGCUUUGGGGGUGGA
Molecule: long non-coding RNA, 932 nt
Organism: Capsicum annuum
Lineage: Eukaryota; Viridiplantae; Streptophyta; Magnoliopsida; Solanales; Solanaceae
Exons: 2
Source: RefSeq, a predicted model, not a curated record